GACGAACGCUGGCGGCGUGCCUAAUACAUGCAAGUUGAGCGCUGAAGGUUGGUACUUGUACCAACUGGAUGAGCAGCGAACGGGUGAGUAACGCGUGGGGAAUCUGCCUUUGAGCGGGGGACAACAUUUGGAAACGAAUGCUAAUACCGCAUAAAAACUUUAAACACAAGUUUUAAGUUUGAAAGAUGCAAUUGCAUCACUCAAAGAUGAUCCCGCGUUGUAUUAGCUAGUUGGUGAGGUAAAGGCUCACCAAGGCGAUGAUACAUAGCCGACCUGAGAGGGUGAUCGGCCACAUUGGGACUGAGACACGGCCCAAACUCCUACGGGAGGCAGCAGUAGGGAAUCUUCGGCAAUGGACGAAAGUCUGACCGAGCAACGGCGCGUGAGUGAAGAAGGUUUUCGGAUCGUAAAACUCUGUUGGUAGAGAAGAACGUUGGUGAGAGUGGAAAGCUCAUCAAGUGACGGUAACUACCCAGAAAGGGACGGCUAACUACGUG
This 497-nucleotide ribosomal RNA is filed under the name uncultured bacterium. Its description in RNAcentral is "partial 16S ribosomal RNA". It matches the Rfam family "Bacterial small subunit ribosomal RNA", at positions 28 to 507 of the family's 1533-position model. The record is from RNAcentral.